ACCACUGCCAGAGGCUGGUGGACACCUGGGCAGAGAGAACAAUUGGAUGAUGAUGUCAUGUUGACAUCAUUGGCCUCACAGGAACCACAUCUCACCGGCUGCCUCCCCGUUUGUGUGUCAUUUGAAGGCCACCCCAAAUGUCACCUCCUAAUUGGAACCUUCCUGGACCCCCCCCCAGCCUUCCCAUCUCGUGUUCCAGGCGGGCUGUGGGCAGCUUGGCCCCAUGCUGCCUGCUGAGGGAUCCCGGGCGAGUGUUCCCAGCAGGAAGGGCUCUUGUGAGAUGGGGGCAGUGGGAGAGGAGUAGAAUCCGUGUCCUUGUUCCUGACUCUGGCCCACGUGAGGUCUUGCCGUGGCGGGUAACAUUUGGACACAGUCAUAACACGAGAGAACACGCUGGAAAGAUGAAGGCAGAGAACAGGGUGAUGUUUCUCCAAACCAAGGAACACCGAAGGCUGCCCACAAUCACCAGGGCCAGGGGGAGGCACGGGCCGCCUUCCCCUCGGAGCCUCAGAAGGAAUGCCCCCUGCUGCCUGCAAGGACCGGGGACAGACUGGCAAUUUCCGACAGCGGGGGAAAGAUGACAUCUUUAAAAUCACACACAAGAGCCCUGCAGUCUCAGUUCAAGUCAGAGGGAGAAAAUCAGAAAGCAAGGAGGACCAGCGAAGAAAAUCUUCUGGUAGCAAGACCGUGGCAUCUGAAAAUGAUUCCCCAAGUUUUACCCUACAGCUUGGAGGAUUACAAUGGAAAUUAAAUUCUCAGCCUCCCCAGGUGGGCUCCCCACGGACAGCUAGGCUCUCGCCCUGCAGGAACUUCCUCCACCGCGGGCAGGGGCAGCCUGCAGGUUCCAGCAGAGCCCAGGGCAACUUCCUCCACCGCGGGCAGGGGCAGCCUGCAGGGUCCAGCAGAGCCCGGGGCAACUUCCUCCACCGCGGGCAGGGGCAGCCUGCAGGGUCCAGCAGAGCCCGGGGCAACUUCCUCCACCGCGGGCAGGGGCAGCCUGUAGGGUCCAGCAGAGCCAGGCCCAGCCUUGCGGCCGGAUAUUCUUCCAGGUUCUUGGUUUCUUCCCGUGUGCUCCCUGUCUGUCCUAGAAACAUGCGCUGCUUCUGGCACUGCUAUUCCUGUAUUCCUCCGAGUUCUCUUGUAACCUUUUAAUAGUGACACAUCUUUUUCUAGUUGAUGAUUCUUUAUCUUGAAUGUUCCUGUUCAAAUGACUGGUGUGGUUUCUGUCUCCUGCCUGGAACCUCAUGGUACAGAAUCAGCACGAGGAGGGUCCCAGCAGGGCAUCUGGGGACUGUUUGCAUCGUCCCUAGGGUGUGAACGCCCGGCUGAGCUUCCUGCCAAUGGGAAACGGGGUGCCAGGCCCCACUUCGAAGUGGAUUUGCUGUGGCCUCUGGUUGGGUGAAAGAAAGGGCUGGAUGAAGCUGGUGCCGGGGCGCCCAAGCGGCUGCUGCCCUUCAGAGCAGAACAGCAAAGAUGCCCCAGGACUGCGGACUGGGGGUUCCUCCUCCACGCACUGGGUGUUCACAGCAAUCAGAUGGCUGGCAGGAGCAGCUCCUCCCAGACCUCGGGGCAGCUGAGAGGCAGAGAAUGUUCG
RNAcentral lists this long non-coding RNA (1594 nucleotides) under Rhinopithecus bieti (black snub-nosed monkey). RNAcentral's name for it is "lncRNA (ENSRBIG00000046100.1)". Lineage: Eukaryota; Metazoa; Chordata; Mammalia; Primates; Cercopithecidae. The record is from RNAcentral.